AUUGAACGCUGGCGGCAGGCCUAACACAUGCAAGUCGAGCAGAUGAAGGGAGCUUGCUCCUGGAUUCAGCGGCGGACGGGUGAGUAAUGCCUAGGAAUCUGCCUGGUAGUGGGGGAUAACGUCCGGAAACGGGCGCUAAUACCGCAUACGUCCUGAGGGAGAAAGUGGGGGAUCUUCGGACCUCACGCUAUCAGAUGAGCCUAGGUCGGAUUAGCUAGUUGGUGGGGUAAAGGCCUACCAAGGCGACGAUCCGUAACUGGUCUGAGAGGAUGAUCAGUCACACUGGAACUGAGACACGGUCCAGACUCCUACGGGAGGCAGCAGUGGGGAAUAUUGGACAAUGGGCGAAAGCCUGAUCCAGCCAUGCCGCGUGUGUGAAGAAGGUCCUCGGAUUGUAAAGCACUUUAAGUUGGGAGGAAGGGCAGUAAGUUAAUACCUUGCUGUUUUGACGUUACCAACAGAAUAAGCACCGGCUAACUUCGUG
This 484-nucleotide ribosomal RNA is filed under the name uncultured bacterium. RNAcentral's name for it is "partial 16S ribosomal RNA". It matches the Rfam family "Bacterial small subunit ribosomal RNA", at positions 30 to 507 of the family's 1533-position model. The record is from RNAcentral.